GUCAUGGCUCACAGGAAGGGAAGCUGAGUGUUGGGGAUGGACUCUACUAACCACUAGUGAAUGGGGGUCCUCAUGGGAUCAUCUCAAACUCUCCCUGUCUAGAGGUCAUUGCAAAUGCCCCUGUCUGCCUGAUCUGGGGUAGAAUGGGUGGUGGGCAUCUCCCCCACUGGUAAUGCCAGGUCUUGAGCUUCCUGGCCGGGCACCAGGCUCUGUAUUUGCAGAGCUCCAGCCAUAAAGUCGUAGAGGAGAAGGUUGACAGGAUCAUUGAUGCCAGCAAUGGGCACAGAGGACAAGUGUAUGAAGCCAGGAAAUCCGUCCAGUGCCAAACUGAGUAUCCUAUGGACCAAAACGUCGUAGAAAAGCAGGUUGAUAGGUUCAGUGAUGCCAGCAACAGGUACAGAGGACAAGUGUAUGAGGCCAGGAAAUCCGUCCAGUGCCAAACUGAGUAUCCUGUGGACCAAG
Molecule: long non-coding RNA, 462 nt
Organism: Pipistrellus kuhlii (Kuhl's pipistrelle)
Lineage: Eukaryota; Metazoa; Chordata; Mammalia; Chiroptera; Vespertilionidae
Exons: 3
Source: RefSeq, a predicted model, not a curated record